This 253-nucleotide ribosomal RNA is filed under the name uncultured bacterium. Its description in RNAcentral is "partial 16S ribosomal RNA". It matches the Rfam family "Bacterial small subunit ribosomal RNA", at positions 524 to 776 of the family's 1533-position model. The record is from RNAcentral.
UACGGGGGGGGCAAGCGUUGUUCGGAAUUACUGGGCGUAAAGGGCUCGUAGGCGGCCAACUAAGUCAGACGUGAAAUCCCUCGGCUUAACCGGGGAACUGCGUCUGAUACUGGAUGGCUCGAGUUUGGGAGAGGGAUGCGGAAUUCCAGGUGUAGCGGUGAAAUUCGUAGAUAUUCGGAAGAACACCAGUGGCGAAGGCGACUUACUGGACACAUAUUGACGCUGAGGUGCGAAAGCGUGGGGAGCAAACAGG